RNAcentral lists this ribosomal RNA (233 nucleotides) under uncultured bacterium. Its description in RNAcentral is "partial 16S ribosomal RNA". The record is from RNAcentral.
UAAUCCGACCUAGGCUCAUCUGAUAGCGCAAGGCCCGAAGGUCCCCUGCUUUCUCCCGUAGGACGUAUGCGGUAUUAGCGUCCGUUUCCGAACGUUAUCCCCCACUACCAGGCAGAUUCCUAGGCUUUACUCACCCGUCCGCCGCUCUCAAGAGGUGCAAGCUUCUCUCUACCGCUCGACUUGCAUGUGUUAGGCCUGCCGCCAGCGUUCAAUCUGAGCCAGGAUCAAACUCU